AGGAAGGCCCGUGAGAGAGGGAGAGCGUCGGGAGAGAGGAGGAGCCCGCGGGAGAGGAGCUUGUUGCCGCCGCUGCCAUGGCUUCCUUGCCGUCGCCGUGGUUGGGUAGUCACCGGAGGGAGCCGUCGCUGUCAGCGCCGCCGUCGGGGUUACCGCCGCCUCUGCCGCCGGAGAACACCUCUGCCGCCACUGAGAUCUGCUGCCGUCGCCGUUGCCGGAGUUCUGGUCGUCGCUGCCGUUCGAGGUGGCUGCCGGAGCUGCCGCUAAACCAAUUCAGCGACCGCCGCUGUUUCAUUUUCUUAGUUCGGGUUGUGUUUUGAGCAUUGCAUGUUGCUUUUAAGUUGCUGUGAGUGCUGCAAAAGUGAUCAGGGACUGAGUUUGCGGUUGCUGUUGGUUUCGGGUUAAGAGAAAUGGUUUCGUUGACGCAUUUUAAGUUAUGGUUUCGACGAGUCGAGCUUUACUUUUUCAGGAACCGGAUGAAGAAGCGUUAAGAAGAGUUAUACUGCGUUUGGUU
This is a non-coding RNA of Arachis ipaensis, 514 nucleotides long. The record is from RefSeq and is a predicted model, not a curated record. Lineage: Eukaryota; Viridiplantae; Streptophyta; Magnoliopsida; Fabales; Fabaceae.